GAUGAACGCUGGCGGCGUGCCUAAUACAUGCAAGUCGAGCGAACAGACGAGGAGCUUGCUCCUCUGACGUUAGCGGCGGACGGGUGAGUAACACGUGGAUAACCUACCUAUAAGACUGGGAUAACUUCGGGAAACCGGAGCUAAUACCGGAUAAUAUAUUGAACCGCAUGGUUCAAUAGUGAAAGACGGUUUUGCUGUCACUUAUAGAUGGAUCCGCGCCGCAUUAGCUAGUUGGUAAGGUAACGGCUUACCAAGGCGACGAUGCGUAGCCGACCUGAGAGGGUGAUCGGCCACACUGGGACUGAGACACGGUCCAGACUCCUACGGGAGGCAGCAGUAGGGAAUCUUCCGCAAUGGGCGAAAGCCUGACGGAGCAACGCCGCGUGAGUGAUGGAGGUCUUCGGAUCGUAAAACUCUGUUAUUAGGGAAGAACAAAUGUGUAAGUAACUAUGCACGUCUUGACGGUACCUAAUCAGAAAGCCACGGCUAACUACGUG
RNAcentral lists this ribosomal RNA (497 nucleotides) under uncultured bacterium. RNAcentral's name for it is "partial 16S ribosomal RNA". It matches the Rfam family "Bacterial small subunit ribosomal RNA", at positions 28 to 507 of the family's 1533-position model. The record is from RNAcentral.